UACAGAGGGGGCAAGCGUUGUUCGGAAUUACUGGGCGUAAAGGGCGCGUAGGCGGCCUUCUAAGUCAGACGUGAAAUCCCUCGGCUCAACCGGGGAACUGCGUCUGAGACUGAAAGGCUUGAAUCCGGGAGAGGAAUGCGGAAUUCCAGGUGUAGCGGUGAAAUGCGUAGAUAUCUGGGGGAACACCGGUGGCGAAGGCGGCAUUCUGGACCGGCAUUGACGCUGAGGCGCGAAAGCCAGGGGAGCAAACGGG
Molecule: ribosomal RNA, 253 nt
Filed under: uncultured bacterium
Lineage: Bacteria
Description: partial 16S ribosomal RNA
Rfam family: Bacterial small subunit ribosomal RNA
Source: RNAcentral